CUUAGAAUUACUUUGAAGGGAGAGGUCAGGAUGGGCAGGAAAAUGCAGAGGAAGUGUGACAAAGUCUGUUCAUAAAUGUCUCCUGAGGAGGCAGGGCUCAAGUGGUGGCACCAUCCUAGCCGUGAGACUGAGCCCUGCUGAGCUCCGAUGCCGCUGUCCUCAUCUUACUACGCUGAGGUGCGGUUGAAGGCCAAGGAGGUGAAACAAGAGGCAGAAAUUCAGCAGGAGGACGCUGCUCUGAGCUGCACCAGUCGCUGUGAGAACUGAAGCCCGCAUGGAACUCCUCAGGAAGCAGCGCGAUGAAGACGGGUGCAGGACGCGAGAGGCCAGGAAAGGCCAGGAGCUCCCAUGGGUCUGGUUUGAGAAACUGAGCGACCUCCUUCCAAGCAGCCAGCCUCAUGGAAAGGGUCGCUUGCCUGCUAGGCAGAUAACAUGUUAAUUUCUGAGUAUAUUCAGCAACCGGUGGCAUAGCCAGGUAGAGGAGAGAAACCAGGGAAGUGGGGCACAGAAGCAGAAGCAGAAGCUGGCAGAGACAUCAGACACAGGCAGCCUCGCAAGGUGCACAGAGGACCAUUCCGGGAAGAGAGGCAAGGAAUCAGGAAGCGGCUGAGGACUCUGGUGGGGGCAAGUCCAGUGAGGUGCUCUGGUGAUGGGGUAAUACCAGUCAAGGGAACACUGAACCAGCAUCAUAUGCAAAGUGUGAUUUCAAAUGGAUGCAGAGAAACUCCCCAGAAGGGUGAGUCACAAUUGCUGAGGAUGACUGUCCACAGUGAAGAGAAUUUGCUCCUCUUCAUGUUCUACAUGUUAAUGAAUUCCACAAAAUAUAUGGAUCAAGAUGGGGCAGUGAGCAGAGGUCUGGCUUAGAGAAAGAAGGGCCAUGGAGGUCGAAGUAUACAAAUAGCAAAAGUGUGGGCUUUUGGGGCUACUCUGCAGUACAGCACGAGGACAGUGGUUAGUAAUCAUGCACUGUGCUCAGGACUUUUGCUAAAUGACAGAAUCUAGCUGCCUUUGCACGGGAGGUAUAAGAUUAUGAUCAGGGUCAUUUGUUCCACCAUAGCAACUAUUUAAGUAGGUAUCUCACAGUGUCAUACUGCAUGGCAUAAAUAUGUACGAUAAAGUGUAUUUUUUUAUAAAAGAGUGAUCUCUCUUCUCUAUCAGCC
RNAcentral lists this long non-coding RNA (1160 nucleotides) under Fukomys damarensis (Damara mole-rat). RNAcentral describes it as "lncRNA (ENSFDAG00000031203.1)". The record is from RNAcentral. Lineage: Eukaryota; Metazoa; Chordata; Mammalia; Rodentia; Bathyergidae.